GGUGGCUCAGUGGUAGAGCAUCUGCUUGGAAUGAUGAAAGUCCUAGGUUCAAUCUCUGGCAUCUCCA
Molecule: transfer RNA, 67 nt
Filed under: Sphaerodactylus townsendi
Lineage: Eukaryota; Metazoa; Chordata; Lepidosauria; Squamata; Sphaerodactylidae
Description: tRNA-Ser
Source: RNAcentral